RNAcentral lists this long non-coding RNA (897 nucleotides) under Homo sapiens (human). Its description in RNAcentral is "HSALNT0267093". Lineage: Eukaryota; Metazoa; Chordata; Mammalia; Primates; Hominidae. The record is from RNAcentral.
GCCAGGUGGCUGGUACUGAGGUACCCACGCCUGCUUCCUCUGCCAGGAAGAGAGACCCCCCACUAAGGGCCCCAAACACAAGGCUCACUUCCUGGAAGCAUGAGGACUGGAGGUGACACAGAAAAGGCUGGCGUGAACUUCCAGACACCUGAGGAGCAAGAGCUCAGAGUUCCAGCUGGAGGUGGCCCGGACUGCAGACUUGGCCAUGGCCAGUGGUGGCCCUUCCCGGACAUGGCUUGGAGCUGAUGGAGCUGCUGUUUGGGACAGCAGGAUGUGGCUUGACUCGGGCACUGAAAAACAAGGCUGGCUUUUAUGAAAAACAAACAAAAACUCAGGUGACCAGAGUUUCACGCAUGCUCAGAAAGCAGUGGCAAGUUAGGAUUAUAAUAAUAAUGUUAUAACAAUAAUAAUGUUAUAACAAUAAUAAUGACAGUAGCAAAUAACCAUCUUUUUGAGGAUUUAUGGAACAUGUCAGACACUGCUUUUUUUUACAUGGGUUGUUUUGUUUACAUGGAUUACCCCAUAGGGGAGGUAAUAGAAGGGGAUUUAUAAUGACAGUCAAACCUGAAAAGGAGACACUUUGUUUUAGCACAACAAGACCCAGGGUACCUGCAGGCUGGAGUGUGGCUUUCUCAUGGGCUCCAGGUGAUUGCAGGGAUGGAGAGAGAAACUCGUCCAUUUCACUUGCAGGGUACACAGGGACUUGCCAUCACAACCUUUUUCAUUUCCAACCAUUUUCUUCCUGUUGGAAGGAAUAUUCCUCAGCUGAAGUUGGAUCUGAUUUAAUAAGGCAAUAACCAGAGAAAUGCAUUUCAAUUGAUUAUUAAGCAUUUGUUUAUUAGGACUCAGUAGCUCUGACCCAAAUAGCUGCUAAGCAGUCAUUAAACAUCAAAGAAG